CUUUUACUAGAGAAUAGCCAAGAGAAAUUUUGAUUAAUGCUCUAUGUUCUUGUUUACUCGCAUGGGUAAAUAAGCAAAGCUCCGGCGGUAAAAGAUAGGCAUGCGUCCUAUUAGCUUGUAGGUGAGGUAAUGGCUCACCUAAGCUCCGAUAGGUAGGGGUCCUGAGAGGGAGAUCCCCCACACUGGUACUGAGACACGGACCAGACUUCUACGGAAGGCAGCAGUAAGGAAUAUUGGACAAUGGAGGCAACUCUGAUCCAGCCAUGCCGCGUGAAGGAAGACGGCCUUAUGGGUUGUAAACUUCUUUUAUACAGGAAGAAACCUUUCCACGUGUGGAAAGCUGACGGUACUGUAAGAAUAAGGAUCGG
Molecule: ribosomal RNA, 368 nt
Filed under: uncultured bacterium
Lineage: Bacteria
Description: bacterial SSU rRNA
Rfam family: Bacterial small subunit ribosomal RNA
Source: RNAcentral